Molecule: non-coding RNA, 1831 nt
Organism: Pogona vitticeps (central bearded dragon)
Lineage: Eukaryota; Metazoa; Chordata; Lepidosauria; Squamata; Agamidae
Source: RefSeq, a predicted model, not a curated record
AGUAUAUUAGGAUCUCUAUAUUUUGAGUGGAAAUAUUGGGGGGGUCGCCUUAUACGCCCAGUCGCCUUGUACGCCGGCAAAUACGAGAAGUCCUUCAGACUGCUCUACAGACUGAUUCUAUUAUCUUGGCACAAUGUCCACACGGCUGUUUGUUACAAGACUCGUGUAAGAGUAGAUAAUGGAGACAUCAGGCACUAAGGGAAAUCUACAGUUGAUACAUAAGCCCUUGAAACAAAAUAAUCCAGAACCAGGUAGCAGUGGCCACAGACUAAGAAUCGCAAGAUCCAUCACAACUGCGAACCAGUCUCCCUGAAGAAAAUGCACUUUUGCAGGAGUCUUGCUACGAGAUACAAAGGAGUGGUUGUUGCAUGGACAAUUUGUGACCUCUUCUUCCCUUCUGGCAUUACUGUUCUAGUGUACAGUAUUCUCCCUUCAGCAAGUAACUGCUAAAAAAUACUUCUUCACAGAAGGUCUAUCCUCUUUUGUUGCGAUCUGUCUCAGCCAAUCUCUUUAGAUGUUCCUUAAUCACUGACUGUGCUCCACUGUGAGAGGUGAGAUUGGUUUUCAGCAACAUCACAGCUUCAUUUCAGGCUUCUGAAAGAACUUGCUUUUCUCACCAACACAUGCUUUGGUAAUCACAUAGUAAUCAGUUUGGAUCCAGCUAUGAAGUUAAGGCUAGAUGCACCUCUCGAAACAACUCAUGCUAGAGAAAUAUUUGUUACUAUAAGACAAGGGAAACUAGAGUAGACACUGUGAAUGCAGAAACUGUUGAUACAAAUUACCGUGGCAUCAUUUAAUUUAACUAGGUAUAUGAAAAACAUGAACACCACAGUAUCUCCAGUGUCAAGCUGAAUCAUCUUGUCUUUGCUCUUCUGAGAACAGUGUCUGUCUCCAGUAUGUGUUGGAGCCUCUGUAUUUGAAGAGUACCUUACAAAAUAAUGAUGGCUGACAGAUUAUGUACCACAUAUUCUUAUACACUUGACACUGAAUCUAACCUGGAAAUUCUGUCCAAAUAAGGGUAGAUGUGUAGCUUCUCUAUUCUAUGGUUCACCAUUUCCUUUGUGAAUUUACUGUGAAUACCUUUCCUGGGAUUAAAAAAGACAGGGCACUGUAGUGAUACUGCAUUUCCCCCAAAGGAAUACAUCAAGAAGAAAUUGGAUGCAAGCAUGUGACUCAUGGAGGUAAAUUAUUAAACCCUCAAAAUCACUUGACUGCUGUUUUUUUCCCUAAAGUUCUGUUUCACAGUGUGAAGUUUUUCAGGACUCUGAGAGCAAAAAUCAUUAUUUUAUUUUGGGACAACACAGAAAAAGUUGGAGCAUUUUCUGGAAAAGCAGGAUUAUUCUACAACACCUAUGUUUACUCAUUAUGUAUGUGAUUCUGAGACACAAGAAGGGCAGUCCAAUUCUUAUGUCUGAGGAAGUGGACUUGUCCAUGAAAGCUCACAUUAAAAUGUUAAUCUUAAGGUGCCACAACAUUUUUGUCGUCGUCUUCUUGCCUAACAGGAAGGGUGGAGAAACCUUCCCCAAGAAGGCUUGCAACAGAUAUACAUUGCUUCCAGUAGCCACCAACCCAUGCUCACAGAAACUCAAAUGUCCUCAAGUCACCUUUUCUCUAAAGGAAUAGAUGUCUUCACAUGUGACUUUUCAGGAUAGGCUUUAGCAGAAGUGUCUCAAAGAUCAAACCAUAACCACUUAGAACACUGGUUCCAAAACAGGGUAACAUAUCCCACUGGAUGGCAUGAAUAAAUUCCAAUUGGGAAAGCGAUGUAGAUAGUUCUAUUUUUAUUUUUAAUUUAACUUAUGCAAUUUUUGUUAAAAGAGAGGUGCAUGAU